Molecule: transfer RNA, 74 nt
Filed under: Limisphaera ngatamarikiensis
Lineage: Bacteria; Pseudomonadati; Verrucomicrobiota; Verrucomicrobiia; Limisphaerales; Limisphaeraceae
Also listed under: 5 other names
Description: tRNA-Gln
Rfam family: tRNA
About the family: Transfer RNA (tRNA) molecules are approximately 80 nucleotides in length. Their secondary structure includes four short double-helical elements and three loops (D, anti-codon, and T loops).
Source: RNAcentral
UGCCCGAUGGUGUAACGGUAGCACAGCAGACUCUGGAUCUGUUUGUCAUGGUUCGAAUCCAUGUCGGGCAGCCA